UUUUUGAAUCAAUCGCUGUAUUUGCAAAAUAAUACAGAGGAAACUCCACGCUUGCACAUUCUGUGAUGAAUGUAGUGAUUGUGCUAGAGGAAUAAAAUAACUCUAGGCACCAUUUUAUGGUGAUGACUUGUAUGAAGCCUAAGUGAUUUUUCAUAUGGCGACAUCUUUAAAGUGCCACAGAGACGAUUAGCUAGAAAUAGUGAAAUGGAACGGGUAAACUCCACAAGCAAGAAACUCAAAUUAUGGUAGAGGAACUAAGAGGCUGGGAAACGAACUAGUCUUUUGGAUCACCUUUUUGGUGAUAGAUAGAUGGUUGAUACGCUUAUGCGAACAGAACGUGGGUUAUGAUA
This 350-nucleotide RNase P RNA is filed under the name Spiroplasma helicoides. RNAcentral's name for it is "Bacterial RNase P class B". It matches the Rfam family "Bacterial RNase P class B". Rfam says of the family: Ribonuclease P (RNase P) is a ubiquitous endoribonuclease, found in archaea, bacteria and eukarya as well as chloroplasts and mitochondria. Its best characterised activity is the generation of mature 5'-ends of tRNAs by cleaving the 5'-leader elements of precursor-tRNAs. The record is from Rfam by way of RNAcentral. Lineage: Bacteria; Bacillati; Mycoplasmatota; Mollicutes; Entomoplasmatales; Spiroplasmataceae.